Long non-coding RNA from Ipomoea nil (Japanese morning glory), 316 nucleotides. RefSeq lists it as uncharacterized. The transcript is spliced from 3 exons. Lineage: Eukaryota; Viridiplantae; Streptophyta; Magnoliopsida; Solanales; Convolvulaceae. The record is from RefSeq and is a predicted model, not a curated record.
AGCAUAUUCAAACAUGUACUGCAAAUCUUGAGCAGGUUGUAAAUAAAGUGUGAGAGUGAAUUAGUUACCACAAUUCUUGUAAAUUUAGCUAUCUUUUACAUAACAAUAAUAUUAAUGUGAUAGUUUCUUUGGCAAGCAAUCCUUAAUUUUCUAAUGUGCGUGCCAUAUUAUGUGAAAGAUUGCCAGAGCUAUAUAUGAUGUUGAGGAGGCAACUUCUACUGCCUUUGAUAUCAUCUUAGGGAACAAGAUGUUUUGUCAUGGAAGUACGAAUGACACUAGAGGUUUCAGUUCCAACAAGUUGAUUAUGACAAAGCGG